This 87-nucleotide transfer RNA is filed under the name Bacteroidota bacterium. RNAcentral describes it as "Bacteroidetes bacterium (marine metagenome) tRNA-Leu". It matches the Rfam family "tRNA". Rfam says of the family: Transfer RNA (tRNA) molecules are approximately 80 nucleotides in length. The record is from RNAcentral. Lineage: Bacteria; Pseudomonadati; Bacteroidota.
GGGGAAGUGGUGGAACUGGCAGACACAACAGACUUAAAAUCUGUCGAGCGAAAGCUCAUGCGGGUUCAAGUCCCGCCUUCCCUACCA